RNAcentral lists this ribosomal RNA (401 nucleotides) under uncultured bacterium. RNAcentral's name for it is "bacterial SSU rRNA". It matches the Rfam family "Bacterial small subunit ribosomal RNA", at positions 356 to 773 of the family's 1533-position model. The record is from RNAcentral.
GGGGAGUAUUGCGCAAUGGAGGAAACUCUGACGCAGCGACGCCGCGUGAAGGAUGAAGGCUUUCGGGUUGUAAACUUCUGUCUUCAGGGACGAGAAAGGACGGUACCUGAGGAGGAAGCCACGGCUAACUACGUGCCAGCAGCCGCGGUAAUACGUAGGUGGCGAGCGUUGUCCGGAAUUACUGGGUGUAAAGGGCGCGUAGGCGGGGAUGCAAGUUAGAUGUGAAAUACCGGGGCUCAACUCCGGGGCUGCAUCUAAAACUGUGUUUCUUGAGUGCUGGAGAGGGAAGCGGAAUUCCUAGUGUAGCGGUGAAAUGCGUAGAUAUUAGGAGGAACACCAGUGGCGAAGGCGGCUUCCUGGACAGCAACUGACGCUGAGGCGCGAAAGCACGGGUAGCAAAC